RNAcentral lists this ribosomal RNA (253 nucleotides) under uncultured bacterium. RNAcentral's name for it is "partial 16S ribosomal RNA". It matches the Rfam family "Bacterial small subunit ribosomal RNA", at positions 524 to 776 of the family's 1533-position model. The record is from RNAcentral.
UACGUAGGGGGCAAGCGUUGUCCGGAAUCAUUGGGCGUAAAGCGCGUGUAGGCGGCUCGGUAAGUCUGCUGUGAAAGUCCAGGGCUCAACCCUGGGAUGCCGGUGGAUACUGUCGAGCUCGAGUCCGGAAGAGGCGAGUGGAAUUCCUGGUGUAGCGGUGAAAUGCGCAAAUAUCAGGAGGAACACCAAUGGCGAAGGCAGCUCGCUGGGACGUGACUGACGCUGAGACGCGAAAGCGUGGGGAGCGAACAGG